CCUACGGGAGGCAGCAGUGAGGAAUAUUGGUCAAUGGACGAGAGUCUGAACCAACCAAGUAGCGUGAAGGAUGACUGCCCUAUGGGUUGUAAACUUCUUUUAUAUGGGAAUAAAAUGUUCCACGUGUGGGAUUUUGUAUGUACCAUAUGAAUAAGGAUCGGCUAACUCCGUGCCAGCAGCCGCGGUAAUACGGAGGAUCUGAGCGUUAUCCGGAUUUAUUGGGUUUAAAGGGAGCGUAGGUGGAUUGUUAAGUCAGUUGUGAAAGUUUGCGGCUCAACCGUAAAAUUGCAGUUGAAACUGGCAGUCUUGAGUACAGUAGAGGUGGGCGGAAUUCGUGGUGUAGCGGUGAAAUGCUUAGAUAUCACGAAGAACUCCGAUUGCGAAGGCAGUUCACUGGACUGCAACUGACACUGAGGCUCGAAAGUGUGGGUAUCAAACAGGAUUAGAUACCCUUGUAGUC
Molecule: ribosomal RNA, 460 nt
Filed under: uncultured bacterium
Lineage: Bacteria
Description: partial 16S ribosomal RNA
Rfam family: Bacterial small subunit ribosomal RNA
Source: RNAcentral